GACAGAGGGUGCAAACGUUGUUCGGAAUUACUGGGCGUAAAGCGUGUGUAGGCUGCUCCGAUAGUCGGAUGUGAAAGCCCUGGGCUCAACCUAGGAAGUGCAUUCGAUACUCCGGAGCUUGAGUCCUGGAGAGGAAGGCGGAAUUCUCGGUGUAGAGGUGAAAUUCGUAGAUAUCGAGAGGAACACCGGUGGCGAAGGCGGCGACCUGGGACAAUACUGACGCUGAGGUGCGAAAGCGUGGGGAGCAAACAGG
RNAcentral lists this ribosomal RNA (253 nucleotides) under uncultured bacterium. RNAcentral's name for it is "partial 16S ribosomal RNA". It matches the Rfam family "Bacterial small subunit ribosomal RNA", at positions 524 to 776 of the family's 1533-position model. The record is from RNAcentral.